GGGAGGCAGCAGUGAGGAAUAUUGGACAAUGGGCGCAAGCCUGAUCCAGCAAUACCGCGUGUGUGAAGAAGGCCUGAGGGUUGUAAAGCACUUUUAAUCGGGAGGAACAUCUGGUGGCUAAUACCCAUCAGUCUGACAUUACCGAUAGAAAAAGCACCGGCUAACUCCGUGCCAGCAGCCGCGGUAAUACGGAGGGUGCAAGCGUUAAUCGGAAUUACUGGGCGUAAAGCGUGCGUAGGCGGCUGUUUAAGUCAGAUGUGAAAGCCCCGGGCUUAACCUGGGAACUGCAUUUGAUACUGGGCAGCUAGAGUUGAGUAGAGGAAAGGGGAAUUUCAGGUGUAGCGGUGAAAUGCGUAGAGAUCUGAAGGAACACCAGUGGCGAAGGCGCCUUUCUGGACUCAAACUGACGCUGAGGUACGAAAGCGUGGGUAGCAAACAGGAUUAGAUACCCGGGUAC
Molecule: ribosomal RNA, 457 nt
Filed under: uncultured bacterium
Lineage: Bacteria
Description: bacterial SSU rRNA
Rfam family: Bacterial small subunit ribosomal RNA
Source: RNAcentral